This 1360-nucleotide ribosomal RNA is filed under the name uncultured bacterium. RNAcentral describes it as "bacterial SSU rRNA". It matches the Rfam family "Bacterial small subunit ribosomal RNA", at positions 28 to 1381 of the family's 1533-position model. The record is from RNAcentral.
AUUGAACGCUGGCGGCAGGCCUAACACAUGCAAGUCGAACGGUAGCACAGAGAGCUUGCUCUCGGGUGACGAGUGGCGGACGGGUGAGUAAUGCCUGGGAAACUGCCCGAUGGAGGGGGAUAACUACUGGAAACGGUAGCUAAUACCGCAUAACGUCGCAAGACCAAAGAGGGGGACCUUCGGGCCUCUUGCCAUCGGAUGUGCCCAGAUGGGAUUAGCUUGUAGGUGAGGUAACGGCUCACCUAGGCGACGAUCCCUAGCUGGUCUGAGAGGAUGACCAGCCACACUGGAACUGAGACACGGUCCAGACUCCUACGGGAGGCAGCAGUGGGGAAUAUUGCACAAUGGGCGCAAGCCUGAUGCAGCCAUGCCGCGUGUAUGAAGAAGGCCUUCGGGUUGUAAAGUACUUUCAGCGGGGAGGAAGGGAGUGAGGUUAAUAACCUUAUUCAUUGACGUUACCCGCAGAAGAAGCACCGGCUAACUCCGUGCCAGCAGCCGCGGUAAUACGGAGGGUGCAAGCGUUAAUCGGAAUUACUGGGCGUAAAGCGCACGCAGGCGGUCUGUCAAGUCGGAUGUGAAAUCCCCGGGCUCAACCUGGGAACUGCAUUCGAAACUGGCAGGCUGGAGUCUUGUAGAGGGGGGUAGAAUUCCAGGUGUAGCGGUGAAAUGCGUAGAGAUCUGGAGGAAUACCGGUGGCGAAGGCGGCCCCCUGGACAAAGACUGACGCUCAGGUGCGAAAGCGUGGGAGCAAACAGGAUUAGAUACCCUGGUAGUCCACGCUGUAAACGAUGUCGACUUGGAGGUUGUUCCCUUGAGGAGUGGCUUCCGGAGCUAACGCGUUAAGUCGACCGCCUGGGGAGUACGGCCGCAAGGUUAAAACUCAAAUGAAUUGACGGGGGCCCGCACAAGCGGUGGAGCAUGUGGUUUAAUUCGAUGCAACGCGAAGAACCUUACCUACUCUUGACAUCCAGAGAACUUAGCAGAGAUGCUUUGGUGCCUUCGGGAACUCUGAGACAGGUGCUGCAUGGCUGUCGUCAGCUCGUGUUGUGAAAUGUUGGGUUAAGUCCCGCAACGAGCGCAACCCUUAUCCUUUGUUGCCAGCGAUUCGGUCGGGAACUCAAAGGAGACUGCCAGUGAUAAACUGGAGGAAGGUGGGGAUGACGUCAAGUCAUCAUGGCCCUUACGAGUAGGGCUACACACGUGCUACAAUGGCAUAUACAAAGAGAAGCGACCUCGCGAGAGCAAGCGGACCUCAUAAAGUAUGUCGUAGUCCGGAUUGGAGUCUGCAACUCGACUCCAUGAAGUCGGAAUCGCUAGUAAUCGUGGAUCAGAAUGCCACGGUGAAUACGUUCCCGGGCCU